Molecule: ribosomal RNA, 253 nt
Filed under: uncultured bacterium
Lineage: Bacteria
Description: partial 16S ribosomal RNA
Rfam family: Bacterial small subunit ribosomal RNA
Source: RNAcentral
GACGGAGGAUGCAAGCGUUAUCCGGAAUGAUUGGGCGUAAAGCGUCCGCAGGUGGCACCUCAAGUCUGCUGUCAAAGACCGGGGCUUAACCCCAGAAAGGCAGUGGAAACUGAAGCGCUAGAGUGCAGUAGGGGUAGAGGGAAUUCCCGGUGUAGCGGUGAAAUGCGUAGAGAUCGGGAAGAACAUCGGUGGCGAAAGCGCUCUGCUGGACUGCAACUGACACUCAGGGACGAAAGCUAGGGGAGCGAAUGGG